This 270-nucleotide long non-coding RNA is filed under the name Ananas comosus (pineapple). RNAcentral's name for it is "long non-coding RNA (ACOM_LNC007501)". The record is from RNAcentral. Lineage: Eukaryota; Viridiplantae; Streptophyta; Magnoliopsida; Poales; Bromeliaceae.
UGUAGAUGAUUCAGAUGAAACUGCCAAACAUUUAGGGUGUGUUUGGUUUCACGUAAAACUGUGAAAAAAAAAUUUUCGGUGGAAUCGGUGGGAAAAAGGUUUUACGUCGUUUGUGUUUCGUGUGUAAGAAAAGAAAAAUCGUUUUCCGUGACGUUGUUUGGUUGAAAGAAAAAGAUAAAAAAUUAUUUAAUAUAUAUAUUAUUAAUAUAUAAUAAUAAUUAUUAUGCUAUAUAUGAAAAAUUAUUAUAUAUAUUUUCUCCUUAUAUAUAU